ACGCACGCUGGCGGCGUGCUUAACACAUGCAAGUCGAACGGAAAGGCCCUGCUUUUGUGGGGUGCUCGAGUGGCGAACGGGUGAGUAACACGUGAGUAACCUGCCCUUGACUUUGGGAUAACUUCAGGAAACUGGGGCUAAUACCGGAUAGGAGCUCCUGCUGCAUGGUGGGGGUUGGAAAGUUUCGGCGGUUGGGGAUGGACUCGCGGCUUAUCAGCUUGUUGGUGGGGUAGUGGCUUACCAAGGCUUUGACGGGUAGCCGGCCUGAGAGGGUGACCGGCCACAUUGGGACUGAGAUACGGCCCAGACUCCUACGGGAGGCAGCAGUGAGGAAUAUUGCACAAUGGGCGGAAGCCUGAUGCAGCAACGCCGCGUGCGGGAUGACGGCCUUCGGGUUGUAAACCGCUUUCGCCUGUGACGAAGCGUGAGUGACGGUAAUGGGUAAAGAAGCACCGGCUAACUACGUG
Molecule: ribosomal RNA, 467 nt
Filed under: uncultured bacterium
Lineage: Bacteria
Description: partial 16S ribosomal RNA
Rfam family: Bacterial small subunit ribosomal RNA
Source: RNAcentral